CCUACGGGAGGCAGCAGUGGGGAAUAUUGCGCAAUGGGGGCAACCCUGACGCCUCCCCGCCUCUUUCUUGCCGCCUUCCUUCUUUUUUUCCCUCUCUUUAAUCGGGGACGAAUUUUGACGGUACCCGAAGAAUAAGCUCCGGCUAACUACGUGCCAGCAGCCGCGGUAAUACGUAGGGAGCAAGCGUUACCCGGAUUUACUGGGUGUAAAGGGCGUGUAGGCGGGCAUGCAAGCCAGAAGUGAAAUCUGGGGGCUUAACCCCCAAACUGCUUUUGGAACUGCGUGUCUUGAGUGAUGGAGAGGCAGGCGGAAUUCCCAGUGUAGCGGUGAAAUGCGUAGAUAUUGGGAGGAACACCAGUGGCGAAGGCGGCCUGCUGGACAUUAACUGACGCUGAGGCGCGAAAGCGUGGGGAGCAAACAGGAUUAGAUACCCGAGUAGUC
RNAcentral lists this ribosomal RNA (441 nucleotides) under uncultured bacterium. Its description in RNAcentral is "partial 16S ribosomal RNA". It matches the Rfam family "Bacterial small subunit ribosomal RNA", at positions 338 to 795 of the family's 1533-position model. The record is from RNAcentral.